CACUUUAAAAAAUCCAAAACUAUAUAUUUAAAACGGAAUUCUCUUGAGGAAAAAAAUAAAUGGAAUUCUCUUUUAGUGUUUGAUAUAUACAAAUUAAUAGGAUUGGUAAUAAUCCCCCUUGAUAUGAAUACAACAGAAAAGACUAACAAUCAGUUUAUCAAACUAUUGUACAUUUCCUCUACCAACCACCAAACAAGAAGGAAUCGAUUCAAAAGCAGAGUAACUCAUGUCACUUAGCCACUAAGGUCACCGACGUUUCCCCUCGAAGGAAUGGUAAACAAUGCUUAUCAAACACCCACAAACCAUCUCUCUAGAUAUUCACGUAUGUUUAGAUAAAAGUAUCUCUUGAUACAUGAAUAUGUAUGUCACGUGUGAAGAAUUCUUAUGCUCAGUCGACAAAUCUAGCAUUGGUCCGGUGGGACAUGAAAACCCUGACAUUAUGCUCGACUUGUCUAGAAUACUAUGCCCCAUUUAUUAUCCUUUUACAUAGUACUGUAUCAAUUACAAAAAUGGGGAUAGGACAAGAUCCUAAUUAUCAAUUCCUCGAGUCCAAAGUUAUGGGUACCACGUGAAUUAUUUUACGAAUUUUCUUU
Arabidopsis thaliana (thale cress) is the source of this 593-nucleotide RNA transcript. RefSeq lists it as uncharacterized. Lineage: Eukaryota; Viridiplantae; Streptophyta; Magnoliopsida; Brassicales; Brassicaceae. The transcript has a single exon. The record is from RefSeq.